GGGUCGUAAACUUCUUUUAUAUGGGAAUAAAGUUUUCCACGUGUGGAAUUUUGUAUGUACCAUAUGAAUAAGGAUCGGCUAACUCCGUGCCAGCAGCCGCGGUAAUACGGAGGAUCCGAGCGUUAUCCGGAUUUAUUGGGUUUAAAGGGAGCGUAGGUGGAUUGUUAAGUCAGUUGUGAAAGUUUGCGGCUCAACCGUAAAAUUGCAGUUGAAACUGGCAGUCUUGAGUACAGUAGAGGUGGGCGGAAUUCGUGGUGUAGCGGUGAAAUGCUUAGAUAUCACGAAGAACUCCGAUUGCGAAGGCAGCUCACUAGACUGUUACUGACACUGAUGCUCGAAAGUGUGGGUAUCAAACAGGAUUAGAUACCCUGGUAGUCCACACAGUAAA
Molecule: ribosomal RNA, 388 nt
Filed under: uncultured bacterium
Lineage: Bacteria
Description: bacterial SSU rRNA
Rfam family: Bacterial small subunit ribosomal RNA
Source: RNAcentral